RNAcentral lists this ribosomal RNA (253 nucleotides) under uncultured bacterium. RNAcentral describes it as "partial 16S ribosomal RNA". It matches the Rfam family "Bacterial small subunit ribosomal RNA", at positions 524 to 776 of the family's 1533-position model. The record is from RNAcentral.
UACGUGGGGUGCAAGCGUUAAUCGGAAUUACUGGGCGUAAAGCGUGCGCAGGCGGUUGUGCAAGACAGAUGUGAAAUCCCCGGGCUCAACCUGGGAAUUGCAUUUGUGACUGCACGGCUAGAGUGUGUCAGAGGGGGGUAGAAUUCCACGUGUAGCAGUGAAAUGCGUAGAGAUGUGGAGGAAUACCGAUGGCGAAGGCAGCCCCCUGGGAUAACACUGACGCUCAUGCACGAAAGCGUGGGGAGCAAACAGG